GACAAAGGUGGCAAGCGUUGUUCGGAUUUACUGGGCGUAAAGAGCGCGUAGGCGGUUGCAUAUGUCAGAUGUGAAAUCCCAGGGCUUAACCCUGGAGUGGCAUUUGAAACUGUGCGACUUGAGGACAGGAGGGGGAAGUGGAAUUCCCGGUGUAGCGGCGAAAUGCGUAGAUAUCGGGAGGAACACCGGUGGCGAAGGCGGCUUCCUGGACUGUCCCUGACGCUGAGGCGCGAAAGCGUGGGUAGCAAACAGG
This 253-nucleotide ribosomal RNA is filed under the name uncultured bacterium. RNAcentral describes it as "partial 16S ribosomal RNA". It matches the Rfam family "Bacterial small subunit ribosomal RNA", at positions 524 to 776 of the family's 1533-position model. The record is from RNAcentral.